GACGAGCAGCCGGAGCCCCGGACGCGGCGCAGGGCCUAUCUGUGGUGCAAGGAGUUCCUGCCCGGCGCCUGGCGGGGCCUCCGCGAGGACGAGUUCCACAUCAGUGUCAUCAGACAGUCUUGCUCUGUUGCCCAGGCGGGAGCACAAUGGCGCGAUCUCGGCUCACUGCAACCUCUGCCUCCCAGGUUCAAGCGAUUCUCCUGCCUCGGCCUCCCGAGUAGCUGGGAUUACAGUCACAUGCCAUGUCCAGCUAAAUUUUUUUUUUUUGGUAUCUUUAGUAGAUACAAGGUUUCACAUGUUGGCCAGGCUGGUCUUGAACUCCUGACCUCAUGAUCCGCCUGCUUUGGCCUCCCAUAGUGCUGGGAUUACAGGCAUGAGCCACCACGCCUGGCUACCUGGCUAAUUUUUGUAUUUUUUGGUAGCCACGGGGUUUUACCAUGGUGCCCAGGCUGGUAUAGAACUCCUGGGCUCAGGUGAUCCGCCUGCCUCCGCCCAAAGAGCAGGGAUUACAGGCGUAAACCACCACACCCAGCUUAGAGUUUGUUAUUUUCAUUGCUGAUUGAUAAGGUCACAGCAGUUGUGAAAUGAAGUUUAAAAUCUUGUGAAGGAUACAAGAUUUCAUGAAGUUCAAUGAAUGAAAUGUUGGAGACUAAGUUUCACACACAUCUUUUGACAUUACGUUCCACAGACCCACUAACAGUGAAAAGAAAACCAUUGAGGAGGAUGCUACCUUGGGCCCUGCAAAAUAGAAUCAUAUCAAAAGAUGGAGAGAGUCCCAUGAAAAGACUGGCCAAGUCCUCAGAUACUGUAAAAUUAAUGCAGUAAAACUCACAUAGGAAGUUAAUUGUGUCUUAUGGUGCCAUCAUAAUUUUUUUGGAAAAAUUGUGCCCAAACUCCCUACUUUUCAUUUUAAACGUUUGCUUUUCAAAUUAAACAUAAAUAUGUAGUUGUAUUAUAACCUAAAUUAUGUUACAUAUAAGAACAGAAACAAUUUUCAAUUUCAUUUUUCAAGAUACAAUUUUAUUUACACUUUGUUUUUACUGGAAAGUUUUGUUCCUUGGGUGGCUGGCUUGCUGGCUUUCUUUUUCUUUCUUCCUUUUUAAACUAAUACACUAUAUUUUUUAGAGCAACUUGUAUUUGUUUGUUUAGAAAUGGGGGAUUUCACUGUGUUACCCAGGCUGGUCUUGAACUCCUGGGCUCAAGUGGUCCCUCCUGCCUCAGCCACCUUAGUAGCUGGGAUUACAAGUGUGUGCCACUGUGCCCAGUUUUAGAGCAGUUUUAGGUUCACAGCAAAAUUGAGCAGAUAGUACAGAGAGUUCCCAUAUAACCCCCUGCCUGCACACAGGCACUGCCUUCCCCUUUCUCAACUUCCCCCACCAGAAUGGGACAUUUGUUACAACUGAGGAACCUACAUUGACAUAUUAUCACUCAGAGUCCAUAACACACUACAUCCUAUUCUUGCUGUUGUACAUUCUGUGGUUUUUGGCCACCGUAUAAUGACAUGUAUCCACCAUUGUAUUGAUGCUGCUUUACAUGAUGAGCUUACUUCAACAGGGUUAUGCCCUGAUAAACCAUCAUAAAUUGAAAUGCAUUUAAUACAUUGAAUCUACUGAACAGCAUAUCUUAGCCUAGCCUACCUUUAAUUUGCCAGAACACUUACACAUUAGCUUACAGUUGGGCAAAGUAAUCUAACAGAAAGUCUGUUUUUAUAAUAAAGUGUUAAAUAUUUCAUGUAAUUUAUUGAUUACUGAAAAUGAAAAAUAAAAUGGUUGUAUGUUUA
RNAcentral lists this long non-coding RNA (1780 nucleotides) under Homo sapiens (human). RNAcentral describes it as "HSALNT0177335". The record is from RNAcentral. Lineage: Eukaryota; Metazoa; Chordata; Mammalia; Primates; Hominidae.